This 25-nucleotide non-coding RNA is filed under the name Mus musculus (house mouse). Lineage: Eukaryota; Metazoa; Chordata; Mammalia; Rodentia; Muridae. The record is from RNAcentral.
UUAUCUGAGAGAAAGGAAGGUGGAC